UCCUGAAACGGGUGGUAAUGCCGGAUGUUCCACAUGAGCGCAUGCGAGUGUGGGAAAGGCUUUUGCGGCAUGGGAUGGGGUCGCGUCCUAUCAGCUUGUUGGUGGGGUAACGGCCUACCAAGGCGUUGACGGGUAGCCGGCCUGAGAGGGCGACCGGCCACAUUGGGACUGAGAUACGGCCCAGACUCCUACGGGAGGCAGCAGUGGGGAAUAUUGCACAAUGGGCGCAAGCCUGAUGCAGCGACGCCGCGUGCGGGAUGGAGGCCUUCGGGUUGUAAACCGCUUUUGUUCAAGGGCAAGGCACGGUUUCGGCCGUGUUGAGUGGAUUGUUCGAAUAAGCACCGGCUAACUACGUGCCAGCAGCCGCGGUAAUACGUAGGGUGCAAGCGUUAUCCGGAUUUAUUGGGCGUAAAGGGCUCGUAGGCGGUUCGUCGCGUCCGGUGUGAAAGUCCAUCGCUUAACGGUGGAUCCGCGCCGGGUACGGGCGGGCUUGAGUGCGGUAGGGGAGACUGGAAUUCCCGGUGUAACGGUGGAAUGUGUAGAUAUCGGGAAGAACACC
Molecule: ribosomal RNA, 559 nt
Filed under: uncultured Bifidobacterium sp.
Lineage: Bacteria; Bacillati; Actinomycetota; Actinomycetes; Bifidobacteriales; Bifidobacteriaceae
Description: bacterial SSU rRNA
Rfam family: Bacterial small subunit ribosomal RNA
Source: RNAcentral